Molecule: transfer RNA, 75 nt
Filed under: Bathyanthias cubensis
Lineage: Eukaryota; Metazoa; Chordata; Actinopteri; Perciformes; Serranidae
Description: tRNA-Val
Rfam family: tRNA
About the family: Transfer RNA (tRNA) molecules are approximately 80 nucleotides in length. Their secondary structure includes four short double-helical elements and three loops (D, anti-codon, and T loops). Further hydrogen bonds mediate the characteristic L-shaped molecular structure. tRNAs have two regions of fundamental functional importance: the anti-codon, which is responsible for specific mRNA codon recognition, and the 3' end, to which the tRNAs corresponding amino acid is attached (by aminoacyl-tRNA synthetases). tRNAs cope with the degeneracy of the genetic code in two manners: having more than one tRNA (with a specific anti-codon) for a particular amino acid; and 'wobble' base-pairing, i.e. permitting non-standard base-pairing at the 3rd anti-codon position.
Source: RNAcentral
CAGAAUGUAGCUUAAACCGUGGCAAAGCACCUCCUUUACACUGAGAAAAUAUCCGUUCAACUCGGGUUAUUCUGA